Molecule: long non-coding RNA, 348 nt
Filed under: Prunus persica (peach)
Lineage: Eukaryota; Viridiplantae; Streptophyta; Magnoliopsida; Rosales; Rosaceae
Description: long non-coding RNA (PPER_LNC003909)
Source: RNAcentral
UAGGGAGUGGGAAAGACUAGUAGGAAUUAGUCAGGCGUUUUAUGAAGACAUAAACUUAGGUAGGGUUCGCUCUUUUUAGACUGAAAUCUUAACUUUGAUCUUUGUUCAAGCCUUCACUGUGGGAUGAGAGCCUGAUGUUUGGAUUACUUGUGACUAAUGAAUCUCAUUUUUUGUAGUUUUGAUUAGCACACUGACACUCAUAUGGUGCAUCACAAAGAAGCUUUAGCAUUUUCUGAUUGGAUAACUAUGUAUUUAUUACAAUUGGGUAGACAAAUCUGUGGCAUCUAAAGCAUUGUCUCAAAUUCAUGUUAGUAUUACUUUCUGGCAAGAGAAUUGAAUUCUUUCAGG